CGGACGGGUGAGUAAUGUCUGGGAAACUGCCUGAUGGAGGGGGAUAACUACUGGAAACGGUAGCUAAUACCGCAUAACGUCGCAAGACCAAAGAGGGGGACCUUCGGGCCUCUUGCCAUCGGAUGUGCCCAGAUGGGAUUAGCUAGUAGGUGGGGUAACGGCUCACCUAGGCGACGAUCCCUAGCUGGUCUGAGAGGAUGACUAGCCACACUGGAACUGAGACACGGUCCAG
RNAcentral lists this ribosomal RNA (232 nucleotides) under uncultured bacterium. RNAcentral describes it as "partial 16S ribosomal RNA". It matches the Rfam family "Bacterial small subunit ribosomal RNA", at positions 99 to 334 of the family's 1533-position model. The record is from RNAcentral.